Molecule: long non-coding RNA, 567 nt
Organism: Argiope bruennichi
Lineage: Eukaryota; Metazoa; Arthropoda; Arachnida; Araneae; Araneidae
Exons: 3
Source: RefSeq, a predicted model, not a curated record
GCUCUAGUGGGAUUCUUUUUUCUCAUCCAGCCGGUGCUGAUUGGUUGCUUCUCUCAAUGUUGAUGCAAUCAAUUUGGCUUGGCAAGAAAGAAUUACCAAAUCCUGACGCUUCUAAGGGAACAAUAUUUCGUCUUAAAAGUUGCUGUCUUCCUUGGUUGUUGGAUUUCGAUUUGAUUAUCUAUCAGACGAAUUGCAUGCUAUUCCAGCUGGGUACCUGUAUGUCCAACCGGUGCCAUUUAAAGUGAACUUAUUGCCCUGGAGGUCGUCCAUAUCGGAGGUAAAUAAACAAAUAAUGGAUAUCAUCAAGAAUUGAACCAUCCCUAGCGGAAGUGACAUGAGGAUCAUUGGUAUGCAAACAAGUUGGUCUCAUUAGUUCUCAGAAUUCAUAAAUUAAAAUUAUUCGCAAUGCAGAAAUCAAAAUGAUUGUCUGUACCCAAGACCAGAAACGAAAUGAACAUGGAUGUGAUUUGCAUUUCUAUCUAAAAUACAAAGUACAGGGUGAUCAAGAAAUAACAGAAAAUGUACGGAGCCCUGUAGCGUGUUAUGUACGGGACGAAAUAUAACAAA